GCUUUGUCCGGAAUCAUUGGGCGUAAAGGGCGCGUAGGUGGCCCGGUAAGCGUGCGGUGAAAGCUCGGGGCUCAACCCCGAGUCGGCCGUGCGAACUACUGGGCUCGAGCACUGUAGAGGCAGGCGGAAUUCCGGGUGUAGCGGUGGAAUGCGUAGAGAUCCGGAAGAACACCGGUGGCGAAGGCGGCCUGCUGGGCAGUUGCUGACGCUGAGGCACGAAGGCGUG
This 226-nucleotide ribosomal RNA is filed under the name uncultured bacterium. Its description in RNAcentral is "partial 16S ribosomal RNA". It matches the Rfam family "Bacterial small subunit ribosomal RNA", at positions 538 to 763 of the family's 1533-position model. The record is from RNAcentral.